RNAcentral lists this ribosomal RNA (498 nucleotides) under uncultured bacterium. RNAcentral describes it as "partial 16S ribosomal RNA". It matches the Rfam family "Bacterial small subunit ribosomal RNA", at positions 30 to 523 of the family's 1533-position model. The record is from RNAcentral.
AUUGAACGCUGGCGGCAUGCCUUACACAUGCAAGUCGAACGGUAACAGGUCUUCGGAUGCUGACGAGUGGCGAACGGGUGAGUAAUACAUCGGAACGUGCCUAGUAGUUGGGGAUAACUACUCGAAAGAGUGGCUAAUACCGCAUGAGAUCUACGGAUGAAAGCAGGGGAUCGCAAGACCUUGCGCUACUAGAGCGGCCGAUGGCAGAUUAGGUAGGUGGUGGGAUAAAAGCUUACCAAGCCGACGAUCGGUAGCUGGUCUGAGAGGACGAUCAGCCACACUGGGACUGAGACACGGCCCAGACUCCUACGGGAGGCAGCAGUGGGGAAUUUUGGACAAUGGGCGAAAGCCUGAUCCAGCAAUGCCGCGUGCAGGAUGAAGGCCUUCGGGUUGUAAACUGCUUUUGUACGGAACGAAAAGCCCCGGGUUAAUACCCUGGGGUCAUGACGGUACCGUAAGAAUAAGCACCGGCUAACUACGUGCCAGCCGCCGCCGUAA